CCGAGUUUACAACUCCCAAACCCAAUGUGAACGUUACCAAACUGUUGCCUCGGCGGGAUCUUCUGCCCCGGGUGCGUCGCAGCCCCGGACCAAGGCGCCCGCCGGAGGACCAACUCCAAAACUCUUUUUGUAUACCCCCUCGCGGGUUUUUUAUAUAUCUGAGCCAUCUCGGCGCCUCUCGUAGGCGUUUCGAAAAUGAAUCA
This 203-nucleotide unclassified non-coding RNA is filed under the name uncultured Trichoderma. Its description in RNAcentral is "sequence contains ITS1". Lineage: Eukaryota; Fungi; Ascomycota; Sordariomycetes; Hypocreales; Hypocreaceae. The record is from RNAcentral.